GGGGACGGGCUCUGCUCUCCGCCUCCUGAACUCCAGCCCCCGGCUUCGCUUCCUCGGCGGCAGCGUGCUGAGGUUUACGAGGGAGUCUAUUCGACCAGCCCCUCUUAUCUCAGCAACUCUGGCCAGCAAGCAGAAUCAAAACAUCAAUAUAAGAACAAACAACAAUUUAAAAACACAGAAGCAAACAGUGGCAACUGAUGAUUAACUGUCAGCAAGUCUCCACAUCUUUUUUACAUCGUGGCGA
Long non-coding RNA from Thamnophis elegans (Western terrestrial garter snake), 244 nucleotides. RefSeq lists it as uncharacterized. NCBI's taxonomy places the organism in Eukaryota, Metazoa, Chordata, Lepidosauria, Squamata, Natricidae. The transcript is spliced from 3 exons. The record is from RefSeq and is a predicted model, not a curated record.